UUURGAUUUAAAAUUUUAAUUUGAGUAGUAUUAGUUAUGAUCUUGAAACUUAAAGAAUUUGGCGGUAUUUUAGUCUAGUUAGAGGAAUCUGUUCCGUUAUCGAUAAUCCGCGUUUGACCUUACUCAAUAUUAUUUAAUAUGUAUAUCGCCGUUUAUUUGAAGAUCUUUUUAGGGUUAAUUUUCUUUAAAUUAAAAUUGAUUAUAUUUCAGGUCAAGGUGCAGUUGAUAAUUGAGUGGUAAUGGAUUACAAUAUUUAUUAAAUAUACGAAUUAUGAUUUGAAAAUAUUUUAUGAAGGAGGAUUUAAUAGUAAUUAAUAAUAAGAAUUAUUUUUGUGAUUUUAGCUCUAGAAUGUGC
RNAcentral lists this ribosomal RNA (355 nucleotides) under Panesthia sp. 2 FL-2017. Its description in RNAcentral is "partial 12S ribosomal RNA". The record is from RNAcentral. Lineage: Eukaryota; Metazoa; Arthropoda; Insecta; Blattodea; Blaberidae.